AGGGUUCGAUUCUGGCUCAGGAUGAACGCUGACAGAAUGCUUAACACAUGCAAGUCUACUUGAUCCUUCGGGUGAUGGUGGCGGACGGGUGAGUAACGCGUAAAGAACUUGCCCUGCAGUCUGGGACAACAUUUGGAAACGAAUGCUAAUACCGGAUAUUAUGUGAGUUUCGCAUGAAAUUCAUAUGAAAGCUAUAUGCGCUGCAGGAGAGCUUUGCGUCCUAUUAGCUAGUUGGUGAGGUAACGGCUCACCAAGGCGAUGAUAGGUAGCCGGCCUGAGAGGGUGAACGGCCACAAGGGGACUGAGACACGGCCCUU
RNAcentral lists this ribosomal RNA (317 nucleotides) under uncultured bacterium. Its description in RNAcentral is "bacterial SSU rRNA". It matches the Rfam family "Bacterial small subunit ribosomal RNA", at positions 8 to 334 of the family's 1533-position model. The record is from RNAcentral.